Molecule: long non-coding RNA, 28986 nt
Filed under: Ananas comosus (pineapple)
Lineage: Eukaryota; Viridiplantae; Streptophyta; Magnoliopsida; Poales; Bromeliaceae
Description: long non-coding RNA (ACOM_LNC041797)
Source: RNAcentral
CGAACCCGGACCCGAACUAGAAGGGUUUUAAUAAUCCAUAGCGUUGGAUGAAAAUCUAAUGGAUAAAAAUUAUUAAAUAUUUUAUCUAUUAUAUAAAUAAAUUCGGGUUCAGGUUCGAGUUGGAUAAAUAUAAAAUCCAUAUCCGUAUCCAUAUUUGUCGGAUUUUUAUUUUCUAUACCCAUAAUCAAAUCCAUAUCCGUUUAACUCGAGUAAACCCAUCCCGUUCGGAUUCAGGUUCAGAUAAUAUUUUGGGUAUCCGUACCCAUUGACAUCCCUAGUUAGGAUAAAAAAAAAAACUUCAAAUACCAUCCCUGUGGUUUUGUACUUUCUCACUUUAGUAUCCGGUGAUUUAAAGUGUAUCACUUUCGUACCCUAUGAUUUUAUUUUUCUCUUUUUGUUAUCCCUUUUAUUAAUUUUUUUCGUUAAAUCAGUGACAAUGUUAAAACUAAAAGGUAAACUAUAUGUGAGGUAUCUGAAGUUUUUGUAUAUGAUUUAAUGAAAAGUUAAUGAAAGAAUCGACAAAAAGAGAAAAAGAAAAUUAUAGCGUACUAAAUUGAUACACUUUAAACCAAAAGGUACUAAAGUGGGAACAUACGAAAUCAUAGGAAUAGUAUUUGAAAUUUAUCCUAGGAUAAACUCGAUCCAAUCCGGAGUCCAAUAGGAUGCCUACAUUAAUAUUAAAAUUUAAUAUUCGACGUAUAUUCGUAUUCGAAUUCGCAUUCGAAAAAAUAUAUACAUAUGUGAUGCGAAUAUGAUUUUUUUUAAAAUUUGACUGUAUUUAAUUGUUUUGACAUUUAAGAAAUAAGAGGAAUGUUCUUAAAUAUUGUAGAAUGAAUAAAGUGACUUUUUAUCGGGGUUUUUUUAAUUUAUUUUACUAUAAAUUUUAUGUUAAAAUUAUAUUUAGUUUCGACCAUAUAUCCAUAUCCGAACGUCGGAAGAAAAAUAUAGGAAAAACUUCAAAAACCCCCCUUGUGGUUUCAAUUUUUUUCACUUUAGUACCAUGUGGUUUAAAAUGUAUCAAAUUAGUACCCUGUGGUUUCUCACUUUAUCACUUUAGUACCCUGUAGUUUAAAGUGUAUCAAGUUAGUACCCUGUGGUUUUGUACUUUAUCACUUUAGUACCCUGUGGUUUUAAUUUGUAUCAAGUUAGUACCCUGUGGUUUUUUAAAUCACAGGGUACUAAAGUGAUAAAGUGUGAAACCACAGGGUACUAAAGUGAUAAAGUGCAAAACCACAGGGUACUAACUUGAUACACUUUAAACCACAGGGUACUAAAGUAAUAAAGUAAGAAACCACAGAGUACUAACUUGAUAAACUUUAAACCACAGGGUACUAAAAUGAAAAAGUGUGAAACCACAGGGAAGAUUUUUGAAGUUUUCCCAAAAAUAUACAUGCAUGAUUUUGUUAAAAAUCCGACCAUUUUCACCCCUUAUUGUUAAGGCUUUGUUUGCCUGUUUGUGAUUAUACGGUGAUUGCAUUAUUUAUAACGAAAUAAUAUAAUAUAAAAAAUAUUAUAUUACUUUAUAUUUUUAAUUAAAUUCAUUUAUAUUUAUUACACUAUAUAAUUAUAUUGUAUUAAAUAAACAGAGUUCGGUUACUAGACUUUUAUGAGUAUAGGUCUUUUUGUACUUAUAAUUUUCGAUCAUUAGAUCUAUUCCUUUAAUCAUUUCCAUCCGUUAGAUCAUACUGUUUAACCAACCACUCACUCAACCCUAGGGAAUUACUAUCUACUUAACCAGAGACUACUAUUAUCCUAACCGCACAUCCCUUCAUCAAAUGGCUGAAAACAAAUGAUAUCGUUUGGUUCGGAAAUAAGCUAUUUUAGAUUAUUCAUGGGAUAUGCACAACUCUUGGGAUAAGCGGAAAUAAAAUUAAUUUUGCGUUUGGAUGAAAACUAGAUUUUUCUCGAGAAUAAGAAAAAUAACAUUUGGAUAGUUAUACUGAAAUAGUAAGGAUAAGAAUAAUUAGAGUUGAGCACAGAAGACCUACUCUAUAAAAUAGUUAAACAUUUUAGUGGACACAUAAAAUCCUAAUCUUCCUCUAGAGCUUCUUUUUGCAUUUGGCCCUUUAAAAAAGUUUUUUGCACAUAUAGCCUUAUCAAAUUUAUAAUUAUAAUUUUGAUCCUAUUCCCGCGACGUAGGCACCGUGUCAGCGUCAGGCAAGCUGGCUAAAGAGGAGUAUUAAGUUGAACAUUGUAAGACAAUAGACACGGCGAACCAUUCACCGUGUUUAGACACGGUGAAUGAAUUACCGUGUUUAACUUAUUCCAGCGUCUCCAUCUUUGCUCGCGUGGCGCUUACAUGGCGCCUGCGUGGUGGGGACAGGGCAAAAUUAUAAUUAUAAAUUUGGUGGAGUUUUUUGUGAAAAUAAUUUUUUUAGGAGGCUAAAUGCAAAAAAAAAAAAAAAAAACUCUUCCUCUCACAACCGGUAACCUUACCUCCCUCCCCACGAAGAAGCCCCGCUUGGAUCCAAGUAUCCAACACCCCCCAACAACCACUGUACCCUCUCUCUCUUUUUCUCUCUACUACUCAAAAACAAACACGAAAACAACGAGGAACUCAUACACGACGACGGUAACCCCACCACCUCUCACCUCCUCUCCUCCUCCGCCUCGAUCUCGGUCCUACGCUCUUCGACUCGUCGCGAGCACUGAGAUCGAUCGAAGCUCGAAGCGCGCUCUGAUCCGAUCUAAGAUCCGUGGAAGAUUCUUUCUCGGUUCUCCCUCAGAUCUCUAUGCUUUUUCAUAGAUUUCUACUUCGUUUUUGAUUUGAAUCCGCGCUGUUUCUUCACUGAUCCGUGCGAUUUUAUGAUCAGUUUGGUGGAACUCGUACCCUAAUUAUGCGCGAUCGGUUGUUAAUUUUGUUUAGCAAUGGAAUAUUUCGUUUCGACGGCCGUAAAAUGAGAUCUAUGACAUUCUAGCGUACAAAUUAUGUAAUUCGGAUGCGUUUAGAUGAUGGUUUUCCCCCCCCGCGGAGUAGAUCUUAGUGUGCGCACUAAAAUGUGGAAAUUUGUGGAAUUUUGAUAGUUCUAAUUUUUACACUAUGAAAUUUCUAAACUAUACGCUUUAGAUGAUGUCGAGCUUUUUGACUUUGCAGAUCGAAUCUUCGCUUGAGUGAUAUAGUGCUGAGAAUUUAUCAAUGAUCGUAACUUUGGAGCAAAUUGGAGAUGAAAAUGGCCCUAGAUGGUGAAUUCUUUUGGAUGAGAAGGUGAUUGGAUGGGCAUUACGUGUUCGAGGAAAUGUCACUGAAACUUUCUCAGAGCUUCGCCUUCUUUAGAAGCUUGGGAUUGUUUGAUGACAAGAAGGAGACCUCGGGGGCCAAGCAGGAAGCAUCUCCGACUUUGAAGGUUCAGACGGAUAAGGAGAUAUAUAGGCCUGGUGAUUCGGUCACUGCUACUAUAGAGAUUUGCAGCCCGAGAAGUUCUAAGGAGGAUACUGAGAAGGAGGACUUUAGUUCGCUCUUGAUCGAUAACGUCAGUUUUGAAGUUAAAGGUAUCGAGAAGUUGGAUACGCAAUGGUUCUCCACUCAGAAACCAUUGCCGGGAUCGAAGCAAAGGAGAGGUGUAUUUUUUCUCCCUCCUAAUGUAUUAGAUGGAAGUCAGCAUAACUAAAAUCUUUCUAGUAAGAAAUUUGAAAAAGAUUUGUAAGAUUUCUGUUUUGCCAUAUCCUUUCUGUUUUGUUGAACUGGAACUCUGCAAGUUAAAAUUGAAUCUUUGAAACUUAAACACCUCCAUCAUUUCCUAUCUGAAUGUUAUUGCUAAAAUAAACUCUUUGAAUCUGACUCGGUAUUUAUUUUUAUUUCGCAAGUGCGGUCGACUAAACAAUUAUUUAUGGCAGAAUUCACCUAGUCAGCACUUAAUUUCUAAUUACUGCAAAUUUUUACCAUAGUGAUUUUCGUAGAGACUUGAAAAAGUAAAAAAAGAACAUUUGUAGUUCCUCUUGACGAAAGGCCACUUGCUUGAUCAAUUUUAUGAAGUUUCAUGCUUAUUAUCUUCUGUAAUGAUAUUUGAAGUGCAGGUGAACGAUUGUUUCUAGAUUGUACAGCACCUUCGAUAGUUUCAAAAGUGAUAGUUACUUCUGGACAUACCAAAACAUGUAAGUCAUCUCUCUUAAGUUAAAUACAUUAUUAGGUCGUGACUUCAGAUAUACCGUAGGAAUUUCUUCAAUUCAGACAUAACGUUUUUAUGCCUAUUUUGUAUCUGUGCAUUUUUGAAGUACUUUCAAUUUUUCUCCAAGUAUCCAGAAGUAACUGAUAUUUUAGUUUGGUCUGACCUGACAAUGUAGCAAUCUAUCUAGAAUUUUUAAGCCACUUGUUCUGUUAGGCAUUAUUACUGGAGUUGCUAGUUAACUCCUUCCAUAUCAUUUAGUUUUACUCAAGUAAGCUUUCUUAUUUGCUUUAUUUAACACUCACCCUUGCUUAAGAUGUUGCCACAUUAGGAUCUUUAUUUAUACCUAACUUCUCAUUUUAUUGUGAAAGAUAAAACUUUAUGUUGCUGCUGUCUGCAGUUGCUAACCUUUCUUAGAUGAUUAUUAUGCUGGUUAUACCUUUUUGACUGAAAACAUUGCCUGAAUUAUUGUUAUCUUGUUAUGUUGGUUGUGUGGAGCAUAAAAAUAUAUUGACAAGUCUGAUCUGAAGAGUCUUUUGCAUUUAUCUUUGGUUUUGACACAUACAAAAGCAGCGAAAGAAAGUUGAAAGUAAGUUUUACAUUAGUCAACCGCAAAAAGGAACCAAGGAUUAACAAGAGAGGAAAGGGCAUUGCAUUUUGCCUACUUUUAUAUCUAUAUUUGGCUCUUUUCUUCGUUUUGUCUACUUUCUGCUCUCCUGUCUAAUGUCUGACUCUGAUGAUUGUGCCAGUUCUUGGCAAAGAUUAAUGGUUUAUCUGAUAAUUAAAUUACGAAUUAAUUCUACUUUACUAUGAAUAUAUCUUAUUUGAUGGCUUAAAUAUGCAUUAGUUUCAGUGGAGAGUAUUCCUUAGCACUAUCUUCUGUUGUUCAUUUAUGCUACUUAGGCACAAAUAUGUUCUUCUUUUGGAUUGGCAGGUCCAAAUCAUUCUUCAUUGUGCUAAAUUGCAAUUAACGGACUGAUCACUCUAUAAAUCUAUGCAGAUAUAGUACGAGUCGAGCUUCCAAAUAUUUUGCCACCAUCAUACAGGGGCAUCAGCAUUCGCUAUAUUUACUAUGUUAGAAGUACAUUAUAUGCAAGGUGGCUUGUUCUGGAUAAUCCAAAUCACGAUAGAGGAUCCACAAAUAAUUUGAUUCAACUGGUUAGUCCCCAAUUUAAGAUCUUGCUGCGUUCUUUCUAAUAAAAUUUCAUUUUCUAAAUUAGGAUUCAUGUUUUUACUUGUCAAACAACCUUUCUGUCUGUAACCUCUCCUAUUUUUAUUGCAUAUUUUAGAAAUCAUGCAGUUCGAGUUUGUAUUGCACUUUAUGUAUUUUCUUAGCUUCAUUUUCCUUUGGUUGGUGCGAGUUUCUUGUAGAUCAUUAUUCCUAGGAUUAAUUAAUUAUGGCAUGACCCGCCAUUUAAGGUUGAACGUAUGAAACAUUAUGAUUUUCCUUUAUGUAGAUCAGUUUGGCCUUUUAGUAUCGGUCUUUUAAGUUCUUUUGCACAGGUUCCGUCCUCUUUUAAGUUCAUACUGGUAGUAUCUAUUUUUCAAACAUUAUUGACCGUAUUACUGCAAAGUUUACUAAGAAGUCUUCAAUUGCUGAAUAGUGCAUUUCUUGCAGUACCCCAAAAGAAUUCCUAGCAUCGCUACUUAAUUUACUAUUUUUCUACUCUUUUUCACCAUUUUAUUUUUUAUGGAGUUACUAAAAGUCCUAUACAAAAUACUUUCAAAUUACCAUUAGUAAGAACUAGUAAAGUAUGAAGAAUUUUAUUCAAACUGUAUCCUAAAUCUUGUUCGACCAUCAUAUAUGUUAGUUGGUUCUCCUUCACAUUCCUGACGUGAGCUUAUUGGGGCAAAUGGUAACUAUCCUUUCACAAAAAGUUGAGUGGCAUGAAAAUUUUUUUAUUUUCAUGUUUUUAACUUUCUUCCCCAGAAUAGAAUCUUACCAUUGGGUAUGAUACAUAUGAAUCAAGGACAUCCUGCAUGAUGUCUGUUUUUGGCACUGAAUUCUGUUUUUGGCACUGAAUUCUUAGAACUUAAGGUGAUGUGAGAAUGACGCAACCAUUUUAUUCUAGUACUUCAAAAGUCAACUAUUCAUGGAUCAUUUGCAUGAUUAGUUGCUUUGAUUAGGGAAUUAUUUACUAUAUAUGAUCUUUCAGUGUCAAGGUUUAUGUAUGCCUGUGCGUCCACAUUUGAUAUUAAAUCUUUGUACAGAAACAUCUUUGUUUGUCAUAACUAUAAAUUUUAUGAACUAUGACUGAUGGUUUGAUGGAAACAUUCCCUUAAGGUCUAGGCAUUUGAUACAGAAACAUCUUUGUUUGUCAUAACCAUAAAUUUUAUGAACUAUGACUGAUUGGUUUGAUGGAAACAUUCCCUUAAGGUCUAUGGAUUUGAUAGUGACAAUCUUCAACUAAGCACUUUGAAUUAUUGAUUGCAAGGUAGGCCUUCAAUUUUUAGUGGCUUCUUCAGUAUCUGACCUCAUUUUAAUCCACGAUAGAUUGUUAUACUGUCGCUAAAUUUGAUAUGUUUGUAUCGUUCUCUAUCGUCAUUCUCAUUGCUGAACUUUCAUUUGUAGGAAGCUCGGGCUCCAUUGCAAAUCUGGGUUUCUCAGAAGAGCAGCAAUCUGCUUAAUGAAGAAGGUUAGAUCUAUAAUAUUGUCUUGUUUUGGAUGCUUGCAUAGGAAUAUUAUAUGUCGCUAUAUUCUUUGUUAACCUGCCUUUGCAGGUCCCAAUUGCUAAAACAGUUCAUGUGGUCAUGUAUAAGUGUUGCAAUGCUAUAAACUUUAACAGCUUGAUUCUACUAUCAAAAUUUUCUUUUAAUUAUUUGCUUGAUUUAUACACUUGAUGAUAUUUGAAAAUAUUUGAAUAAAUUCUUUUGGUGUGUAUACCAGGGAAGUUACUGAUUUCUGAUGAUCAACUGAAUAUUUUUUGGAAAGAGAAAGAUGACGACUCUGAAUGGGUGAGAAAUUGCUGGAACAUGUUCAAUUUUGCUUCGACAACUUUUCUGUUUCUGUAUUUGUCUUUUGAUUCAAAAAGUUUUCUUGCAUGUAGGGUUAAUGCACAGUGCAAACUUAGGCUAUAGAGUGACUCGUGUGUUCUGAAAAAUUAUAAUGCUAAAUUUUCUCAAAAAAGUGAUAAGCUCCGUACUCAUGGCCGUGAAAUAGCCUUUUUCAUUAUCUCAUUUCCCUCUCACUUCCUACUCUCUUGUAAGCAGAUCCUGCUCCUUAAGAAUAAACUCGAAGUUCGAAUUCCUUUUAUUUCAAAACCAAAUAAACUGCUUCAGGCGUUCAUCACAUUAUUUUUGGGUUUGCUAGGAUAUGAUCAAUAUUUCAGUAUUCUUUUUCAAAUGGGCUGUGAAUUUUUAAGAAAUCUAAUAUAUUUGUGAAUAUCUCAGAACUUUUAUUGUCAGAUUUUAGUAUACAAAAAUGAAUUUUACAUUUUUGACCUUUUAAUUCUGGUUUGAUUUCUCAUUGUGCUUAUUUACUGGGUGAUUCUGAUAUAAUGGGUGUAUGUGAUAUGGUAAGUAUCUUAUUUAAUCAAUUCUAACUGUAUAUCUUGUAGAGAUAAAGAGACAAUGUAGGUUUCAAAUUUGGUUAAUCUUAUUUUUAGAACAACGGUCAUGUAUAGGAGUAAUAUGCUGAGAACUUCUUUAGUCGAAACCACUACUUGCAGAGUCAGUACCACCGUUGGCAAAUUGAAUCAUCUCGAAAUGCAUAGCUUAACAAUCCCAUGCUAUGAAAUUCAUACAGGCAGGAACUUUUAAUUAUUCAGCAGCAGUUAAUUUCAGUUUUGUGACUCCUCAUAGUAGUGAAUUGUCCUUUUCUUGUCAGGCUAGAGCAAAUGAGAAUGUGGAUGGCUUCGAAGAAGGAUAUGAUAGCUCAAGAGAUGAAGUCUCGUCUGUUUCCUCGUACAACCCUGCCAAAGCAAAUGUUGACUUUGUUCACAGGAAUUCCUUAUCUAUGCAAUCAAUGUCGACACGACUUUCCACCAGUGAGCUAUACAAUUCUCAUGGAGAGCACUCUGGUUUUCCAUCUUAUGCUGCCCUUCCUCGACUUUCUAUAUCGGAGGUCAUAGAUGAUCCUGGUGGAGGUAUGGUGUCCAUUCAAACCUGCCAAUAUACUGCGCUUUACUUGCAAGUUUAUCUCCUAGUUUCAUCUCUGAAAUGUGAUUAUGGUUUCAAUUCAUCCUAAGGGUCUAAGUUGUAACAGUAUAGAUGAUCUAACUGCAGGAAUUAAAUGUGAAAUCCUAAGUUUGACAUGGCGGCUUUUCAGAUGAUUGACUAGGCAGCGUUUGGUUGGGAAAAAUGGUGGGGAUAGUGGUAGAUCUCCCCAGUAUACUCCCAAACACUGAGAUAUCAAUUAAAAAAUGGUGGGCAUAGUGGUAGAUCUCCCCUGUAUCCUCCCAAACACAGAUAUCAAUUAUCGUUACUUGGAAUUAGGUGGGAAAAAUAUCCCCAUACCUAGUUUAUCUGAGCGAAUAUUAGUUCCAUGGGUUAUAGUAUAAACAUGCUAUCCCUCGUGUCUAGGGCCUUUUCCCACCUAAUCCCCACUAUUGCAACCAAAACAAUGGGGAUAACUUAAACUAAAUUCCUUGUAAGGGAUAUUUUUCACUAUACCCAUGACAGAAAUUGCCAAGCCGAAAAUUACCUAAAGGAAGGAGUUAAUUGUCACAUAUAACGAACUUCAGGGAUUACAUUCUAUGAAUGAAGAUUCAGAGAUAAGAUGGAAAUUCAGGUCAAAACUUUGGGGAUUUGGUCUGUAAUUGGCCCUUCCUUUUUUUGGUGCACAGCAGCAGAGGUAGGGCUCUGUUCAUGUGGAAUAUAGAGAAAAAACAGAUUCUGAUACACAUUUUAAGCUGUAUCGUUCCUAGCUUGUUCUCUCUCUCUCUCUCUCUCUCUCUCUCUCCUGUUUAUAAGUUAUCUGUUUAGAAAUUUGCUAUAUAUCUCUCAAUCGAGCCACUAUACAUUAUCUAUCUUAUUGAUGCUUCAUCUAAUGAACAGCUAUACAAUCUCCUCAAAUGAAGCUAAAUCAUUCUUCGUCUACUGUGUCGCCGGUGGAAAGAAAUUCUACAAAUUCUUAUUUCCUUAAAGAUGAAGUCGGAUCCCCAUUCACACCCAAACAUGUUGAACCUACUGCAUGUAAGUCAUUAUGUUCUAUUAUGGGAUUUUGUUCUUCAAACUUUAGAGGGAUCUUUUCUCAAUUUAGCUGAAGAGCUUCAGUAAAACUAAGUUGCAGUGAACAUUCUCUGCAGCAGAAGGCUUCAUUCGAGGAAGAUCCUACAAUAUCAGAAUAGGCGACCAAGUUUUGCUUCGCUUUUCACCAAGAAACUCUGAUUCAACUUAUUACUUUGGUGAUAUGGUAAGUUUAUUAAAGAGUUAGUUACAAAUUUUGGUGUGAAGUUUGACCUGGAUUUCAAUUGUUUUUCAUAAAGCUUCAAUUUUGACAAUUCAGUCCGUGAAAUUUGGCUUCUGUUGCCAAACUUGGUACUUAGGGUUUCAAUCUUAAUAAUUUAAGCUCUGAUUUAUGAACUCAAUUUCAAAUUCACGGGAGUUUCAAUCCUAUCAAAGAAAAGUCUAAAGGUAGCGCUCGCUGAUGUGGCACCUUUUUUCAGCUGGUAGACUACCAGAAGAGCCUAACUGUUAUGCAGGACAAAAUUUAGGACUGAAUUGUUAAAACUGAAACUGAGGACAAAAUUUAAAUACAGGUCAACCUUCAGGUAGAAAAUUUGUACUAUUUUAUUAAACUUUAAUAGCUCUAUUCCUUUUCAGUAUUGAAGCAUGAUUUUGUAAAUUUUCUGGAAACAGAUUGGUGGCACCCUCACCUUUUUUCAUGGGGAGGGAGUUCGAAGAUGCCUUGAGGUAGAAGCAUAUUGAGUUGUUUUUGUUCUACUAGCUGAUGAUUCAUGUCUGAAGCAUUUCUACACUUUGGCAGGUAUCAGUAACAUUGGAAACUUCAGAAACAAUCAACCAGCGUGUAAUACAUCCUUCUAGAAAGGGCUCGCCCACAAUCACAAAGGUACUUUUUGUAUAUUGUACGAGCUCAUUGAUCUCGUAAGACAGAUAUGAAGAUGCUUUCACUGGCCAAUUCAUUUCUGAAUAGUUUGUCCUUGUUUCUUUCGUGUUCUAUUUCCGCUUUGUAACAAACUGGUGGAUGCUUUCUUAAAAACAAUAAGAAAUUACUCCUGUUCUGGAUUCCCCUUCCCCCCCUUCCUCUUUUUCGCUUUUGUUACGGCAUCAGAUGCCUUCUCCCUCUGCCUUAUGAUCAAAGCACAAUGCUGUUAAAUGUAUUUGCUUUUUAGCAUCUUGAAACUGAAAGAUGAAAAGAUGCCAAACUUGUUUACAAAUGAAACAAGGAUUAAACUAUAAUGAAAGGCAGUUUGUGAAUAAAAAAAACACAUGAUUGAACAGAAGACAUGUCAAAAGAACUAAUUAUUAGUUAAUAUUUCUCGGACAGAGUGCAGGUAAUUUAAGGUUGUUGAAACAGAACUGUCUUACCGAAAUGAUCUAAGUAUGUUUAAACAAAUUUUUAAUCUGGGCAAAGGGUUGUCUUAAAGUUGCCUUAUAUAAUUGGGGUUUUCACUUAUGCCGUAUGUAUUUGUUUCUUGAUUCUAAACAUUAGUGCUCUCCAGUGCUAACUCCCUGUCUUAUCUGAAUGAUUGUGCAUUUUUCAAUAUGUUCCAAUUGUGGCAUAUUAGUUUUUUUGUGAUAAAGUUCUCUGUUUCCAAUGUACAUAUUGUCUCUGUUCUGCUGAAACCAAAAUCUUAUGGAUACGAAUUAAUGAACUAAGUAAACCUGUAGGGAAGAAUUUGUUAAAGCUCAGGUUUCUUCAUAGCUCAAUAGACACGGGCCAUAUGGCAAUUUUAGUUUUGAUUUCUGGCGAGUUCUGAUUUGUUUCUUAAUUUCUGCCUGAGAAUUUGUUUUUAUAUCUUUUUGAGCUCGAACUCUUCUAUGAAUUGGGACAUAGAAGUGAUGCAAUCGUAAUUACUUAUUCCGUGUUUAGGUUCAUAGCGAGCACCAUGAGGUUGUUGCUGAUUUACUUCAGACAAGUUUCCUUUUCUCGAUUCCUAUUGAUGGGCCCACGACGUUCUCCACCUCAAAGAUUUCGGUACAAUGGUAUCUACGUUUUGAAUUUUUCACUACUCCUGAGGAUCUGGACCUGAGAAGGUACUUAGAAAUAUGCUUGUCAUUUGUUUGUUUAAGGAAUAUUUAUGCAGAACUAUACAUCGUCUUGAAAAUAACCUAGUAUUUGAUGGAUUCCUCGUACUUCAUUUUUUUUUUCUCUCCGUAGAUACGAACACCCUCUCUUGAUCGAGCAAAGGGAAAAGGGGGAUUGGGUUCUCCCAAUAUCUGUAUAUGCACCUCCUUUACGUAGACAAGCUGCAGAGACGAGAAAUGAAAGGUCCUUGUCUCUUGGAAAUUUGCUUCCUCCUUAAAAGGUAUGCCGAACUCUUCAAACCUACAAACCAUUUUAUCGAAGGGAAAAACUCCAAAAAGCCCGUUGGUGAUACGGCUAUAUUUUGGCCGAUAGCUUUCAUUUUUGAGUUAUAAAUGAGACAGUAAAAAUGAAAGGAAAAAAAAAAUAUACAAAGACCCCUUAACUUUAGAUCUUUUACAGAUCGGCGCCUGAACUUUCAAUUUGGGCAACUAGACCCUUAAAACUUAAUCAAAUAGUUCUAUAGACCCCUCUCUUCAAUUAAAGUUAUCAAUUAUACAAUCGUAUUGACCGUAUUUAUUGCAUAUAGUUUUAUGAAGCUUCAAAACAUAAAAAACUCACCUUUUGCAUUAACAUGUAAAAAAAGUGAUAAAAGUUGAAAUUCGGUUCAACCUAUUUUUUGAUCGUCAUGCUUAAUUAUCAAAAUUAGAAGAGAAAAAAUAUAUUUCUUUAUUCUUUGAAGUUUUACAAAAUUUAUGUGUCUAACACCCAAUCAAAAUGGUUGUGUAAUUAGUAAAAAUUCAUAUGAGGAAAUGGGUCUGUAGAAUUGUUUGAUAAAGUUUAGGAAAUGUCAUUGCCGAAAUUGAAAGUUUAAACGCCUAUUUGCAAAUGAGCUCAAGUUCAGGAAGUCGUUAAACGUUUCUCACAAAACGAAACGCCACUGUGCUGUAAAUUCGGUAACCUUUCUGAUACAUGUUUAGAUCUUAGAUUGUGAAGCACUUUGCUGCAUGACAUAACAUAUCUCGAAUGGUAAAUGAUCGGUUGUUUACAAAUUUUCUCCCACAAGAGUGUUUGAGCUUUCUUCUUUGUCCAGGCAGAGCGUGAUUUGGCAGAAGUCAAUUAAUCAUCAACAGAAUGAGAUAAAUAUAUGCACAUAACCACAUUGACUAAAUCUAACAAUUUUGUCUAGGCUUAUCUUUCAUUUACGUUGUUGGAACUUGUAAAUGUAGCUAGCUCUUUUUUUCUGCAGAUGCUAACAUUCUCUUGUUCUUGCAGAUUCGGUGUGCGCACGUCAAUCAGAAUACCGAGUGCCCACCAAAAUCAAGCAUGGGCCGCGAAUGGACAUUGACAAUCCGAUCGUUCACAACAUUUCCGCGAUCGUUUAUCAAUCGUUCACAACAUUUCUGCGAUUGUUUCGUGGGGGCGCGCACGCUUAUGAUUCUGAAUGUUGAGGCAUUUACCAUUCUUGUGUUAGUCCUUGUCUCUGUCAGAUGUAUUUGGCCACCCCUUCGUUAACACACAAUCUCUUUUCGAUGCCAUACAUGCGCGUACUGACGCUGGAUAACAUUUCUGUUCUUCUCUUUACUGAAACGUACGUGCUGUUGUUACAUGUACAAACGAGAAUGCCGCCGCAGUUCUAAUUUCCUGAUCAUUUUUGUGUCGACAUUGAUCUCAUUUUUCUUAGUUACUCAAAACUCUGGAUUUUGCUGAUGCUAAGAUUCAUCCUUAUUAUGAUAUCUGAUACUUUGAAUCCAUCAAAUUUAUACCUUUUCUUAUGCUUUGAAGUUAGAAAAUUCAUUGUGCAAAGUCACGCCAUGAAGCACCACAACAAGAAGUUUAUUAUAAACUUAGAGUGCGUUUCGUUCGCGCUAUCUUUUUUAAGAUUUCUAGUAAUUCAAUAGAAAUAAAAAAAAUAUGACGGUGUUUGGCUAAACGCACUAAGUAAACUAGUUAGUAAUAUUAAAUUUAUUUGAAAAUGAAAUUUAUUUCAAAGUACUGAUCUCAUUUUUUUGAGGGAGGGUGGGUAUCUUCAUAUUAAUGAAUUAGGGUAAUCGUAAUAUGUCUAAUCUCUUUUUUCUUCUUUUUUGCCGAUUAAUUGAUAUUAUUUUUCUUUACACUCUAACUUCAUAUCUCUUUCUAAACUUAUCUUUUUCUCUCUAAAUUUUAACUUUUAUUUUCUCUCUCUAAACUAAACUUUCUCUCUCCCUCUUUUUUUUAAAUCUCAACUCUCUUACUUCCUCUAUUCUCGAUUCUAUUUCUCUUCCUAUUUCUUUAAUUAUGCUCUCUUUUUCGGAUCUAUAUUCUCUCUUUCUUUUUUCUAAAAAAAUGUUAAAAUUUUUUUUAGCAUUAUCUAAAAUUAAUUAAAAAAUAAAUAAAUUAAUUAUAUAUUUUUUAUAAUUUUUAAGUAAUAUGACUAAAUAAUAUGACCGUACGAACCAAACACAUGAAUGCCAUAUUUUUAAAUAAUAAAAUAAAUAAAAAUAAGAUUCUCGAAUAUUAUUUUAUUUCUUAUAAUCUUUCAUAAUGCGAACCAAAUACGUCCUUAAAUUAUUAACACAAUACCAUUAUUGAUAUACAAACAAGCCAUAAUUAAAUUACUCUCUAUACUCUAUAUAUUGCCUGGUGCUUCUUUUAUUGUCAUUAAUUCCAUGCAUGGUUCAUCGUAUAUUUCUUUCAUCUCAUCAAAUACAUCAAUCAGUUCAAUUUAAGUGUGUUCUUGACGGGUACCACAGGGCUCCUGGUGUUUGCUGCCGAUGUGGGGGUUAUGCGCCGCCGACGGCCGCACCGUCCCCGUCGCGAUGGCGAUCGGCUGCGACUUUGCCAUGCCGGGCUCCACAUACCCUCCCGCCGCCUGGCCCCCGACGACAUGACAGCCACCGCGGGCGGCAGCAGCAGCAGCGGCAGCGGCAGCGGCGGCGGCAGCGGCGGCAGCGUUGUGGGGGCGCUCCGUCGCCGCCUCCCGUUUGGCGGCCUCGGCUUCGGGGAUCCUGUCGUGCUUGUGCUGCUCCGCCGGGUGCGACGCCGUCAGCUUCUCCGCCCUUGCCUGCAGAGCCGCCUGCGCCUUCUCCGCGUCGGCCUUUGCCGACUCCACCGCCCUCUUCCCCGCCUCCAUCUUCUUCUAAUAUAUAAGUUCCUUGUUUUGAUCCUCUCCCCUCUUCACUAUUCUUCUUCUUCUUGUUGUUGUUGUGCAAGCUAAUUAAACUACAUGCAUCUAUAGAAUUGAACUGAAGCAGUAGCUGGUAUAUAUAAACCUGUAAGAAGGGGAGGGACGAGGACGUGAGGACGUGGCGUGGCAUGGCACGUAGCAUGCAUGGAUUCGAGAUCGAGGUGACGCGUGUCGGGGACACGUGCGAGGAUCCUCUUACGUAGCGAAUGUUGGAUGGUCACGUUCUUUUUUCCUCAAAACAUUAUUUCAAAUAAAAUAAUAUGGUAUUGUUUCUGAUUAGGCUUCUAAUUAUUUCUCACUCACAAUAUGCUAAAAUAUAUAACAUAUUUUAUAAUAAUUGAACCCUCUCUCAGCUCUCUGUCACCAAAUUACAAAAAAAAAAAAGAAAAAGAGAGAGAGAGAGAGAUAGAGUUACCACAAAUUUCUCGUAAAUUUAAGGAACCUUCUUAACUUUUUAUUUAUUUAUUUAAACUUUAGUCCCUCCUUGAUUGUUGGAGAAGGAUUUAGAUUGAUUAGAGUGAUGGUACAAAAUAGAAAAGUCUAAUAAAGUAUUGUACUAGUCCAAGUUCAAAGUGGGGCAUCAUUUGGACUAAGUGGCUUUUGGACUUUUAACAUGGGGGGUACAAUGUCAAAUGCCCUAUCUCUUCUUAACAUUUUUUUAAUAAAUUAUUCCAAAAUAACCAAUUUUUUAAAAAAAGGGAAAACUUCGAAAACCCCCAUGUGGUUUCGUAGUUUUUCAUUUUGUCCCCCUGUGGUUUAAAAUAUAUCAAUUUGCCCCUCUGUGGUUUCGUUUUUUUCUUUUUCUUAUCAAUUUCAUUAUUUUUUUUUCUUAAAUCAGUAAUAAAGUUAAAAUUAAAGGAUACUAAAGUGAAUAUUUGAUAAAUCUAGAUGGGUAUCUGAAGUUUUUUGUAUAUAAUUUAAUAAAAUAUUAACGAAAAAGCUACCCAAAAGAUAAAAAUAAAACCACAGGGGGGCAAUUUGAUACAUUUUAAACCAUAGGGGGUAAAGUGAGAAACUACGAAAUCACAUGAGGAUUUUUUGAAGUUUUCCCAAUAAAAUAAAGGAUUAGCUCCUUUUCUCUCUCUCUCUCUUUUUGGGUAAUAAUGCUAUGCUACCUUAUCUUAAUUUAUAUAAGAUAAUUAUUAUUUUUUUAAAACUUAAGUUAAUAAAAAAUAAUAUUAAAUAUAAAAAUAUAAAAACAUUCGGCUUCAAAAGAAAAUAAAAAUAUUAUUUUCUACCAGUUUUUAGAGAAUAGCAGUUCUUUUAUUUUAUUUAACAGGGUAUCAGAGUUGAUUUUUAAUUCAUUCGUUUUGUAAGGUUAUGGAUUUAAUUUUCACCUUUGAAAUUAAAUUUUCACAAUUAUAUAAAAGGGUUAAAUUCUCGUUUUUUAUCUUAUUUAUUAAUUUUACAUGUCUUUUUUUAUCUAUCACCGACUUAUAGGCUUGCUAAACGUAAAAAUAUGAUAUCUGAGCGACUGUGUUUUGAGAAAAUUUUAAAGUGCUCGUAGCAUCUAUUCAUCUUUGCAUAGUUAGCUAUACAUCAUGAAUACUUUUAUAAACCUCGUGUGUCCACGUCUGACUUGCACGUGUUAGGCUCGUGUUUGAUGCGGACACGCCAUGAACGCGCACGGAUACUUUUAUAAACCUCGUGUGUCCACGAUUCAUUAUCGUGUUUGAUGCGGAAGCGCCAUGUAUAUAUAUAUAUGAUAUAUUAUAUUAGAGAGAGAGAGAGAGAGAGAGAGAAUAGAACUUGUGUGCUAUUAGGAGGACAGAGAUUCGUGCUCCUAAAUUAUUUUCGAUGAUGAAACUUUCGAAUUGAGGAUCGACUCUGUUAGAUUUGAUUUAGCAUAUUUAAACUAUAUAGAAAAUAAAUUUUACGAUUUUUCGAUUUUAUUUAUCUAGUGAUCGAAAGGACCAAAAAUCAACGAUUAAAAAUAAAAAUCUCACAAAAUGUUAUGAUGUACUAUUAAAAUUUUCGAUUAGAGAUAUUGAUCUUAUUGUAGAUAAUAUAAAGAAUUUUCUAUUAAAAUUUCAUCUGAUUUGAAUAUUUCUACACCGUUAAACUUACAAACGGCACACAACAACUAUUAAAAAUUAUUGAUUUUGAAUCAUUUCAAUUACUUGGUAAAUGAUAUCCAAAAUCCGAAAAAAUUAAUUUCUAAAUACUUCAAAUACGCUACAUCAAGUCUAACGGAACCGAUCGUCGAUUCGAAAAUUCCAUCAUAAAAAACGGCUAUAAGAAUAUAGAGGCCUUUGUGCUCCUAAUAGCAUGUAAGUUCUACUAUAUAUAUUAUUUUAUAUUUUUCUACACAUAUAUAAUGUAGAAUGAUAAAUAUUUUGGCUUUUUGAUGAAUGUGUACAAAUUUUUUUGGACAAUAUAAAUAAAUUCUGUAUGAUGAAAAAUUUCUUUCCUUCAAAAUAUAUAAAUUACUAAUAAAAAUUUUAUUAACUUUCAUUCAUAUAAGAAAUAUAAUAAUAGUUUAAUAAAAGAGUUAGGCUGGUAUACUAUCGGUAGCAUGGAGGCCUCCGUGUUACCGAGUUGUUUUCAAUGAUGCGGCUUCUAAAUCGAUGAUCGGCUCUGUUAGACUUGAUCUACAUUAUUAAAAGUAUUUGAAAAUUAAAUUUCAUAAGCUUCCGACAUCAUUUAGCGAGUGAUCAUCAUUUAGCGAGUGAUCAGAAGGUUUCAAAAUUGAUAAUUUUAAUGGUGGAUAUGAUGCGUUUGUGAAUUUAACGGUGUAAAGCAAUUCAAAUCUAAUGAAAUUUUUAUAGACAAUUCUUUUCACUAUUUAGAGUAAAAUCAAUACAUCUGAUCUUAAAUUCAAAUUUUUUAUCAUCAUUUUUUAGGAGAUUUUUAUUUAAUUAAAUUUAUUUUUUUAAUUUGAAUAGAUUUUUGAUUUUUUCAGCUGGUUAUUUUUUUUAGACUACUCGUUUUGAAUUAGUUAAUAAUGCCAGAAAAUAUGAAUAUUUUAGUUUUCCAAAUACUUUUCCAAUUGUGUAGAUACUAAUGCUAAUCUGAGCCGAUCAUUUUUUCCGUGAUUUGGAAGCUCAUCAUUGAUAAAUAACUUGGUAGCAUCGGAGACCUUCCCUGCUAACCUUUUUGUUUGUUAUACAAGCCAGGCUCUUUAAAAUUUUUUUAAUUAUUGUGAAAUAUAACAAAUUACAUAUUAUUUAUAUUUAAUAAAUUAUUUUUAUAGCAUGUUCAAUUCGUUGUUCCAUCUUCUUUUUUUUUAAAGUUGCUUGAGUCUACUAUAUUUGAAGCUUAUUGUAUUCGUGGUUCUGUGUCCGUGUCGGGAUACUCAGCCGACUUUCUUUUCGGGUUUAAAAUUGAUUAUCUAUAUCAUAUUGUUCGUCCUCUGUAUAGUGUAAUAGGUGUAUACUUGUUUCACUUUAUUAAAGUAGUUAGUAAUAUGUGUAUUGUUGCAAUGUAGUCAAUUCAAUACUUUUUCAAUGUGCUUAUUUUUUUUUCACAUUCUAUUUAUUUUCGUUGUUUUGAUACCUUGAGUCCCUCCUAGAUCAUAUGUGAAAGCUUGUUGGUUGUGUUAUCUUUUUUUUUUUUUUUUUUUUUCGGAUUUGACCUUUCAAGGGAGAAAGCCGCAGUGGAUUUUGCAAACAUGGUUCAGGUAAGUUUAUUGUUAUAAUUUUUGAAAUUAAACGAAACUUGGGUUAUCUUGUGUUUGUGCUACCUUUAUCUGUCUUUCAUAAAAAAAAAAAAAAAUAGUUGGUUCUCUCAAAUUUUAACAGACACGUGUAAGAAAAUUGGCGGUAAUUGAAAGGAUGUUUUGCGUUUUUAUUUAUUGGCCCCAACACAAAAUCAUUUUUAAUACUUGGUAGUAUUCUUAUCCCAAUUGGUCACUAGCAUGUGGAGUGGAGAGUUGAACCCCAUGGCCCUCAACUUGUUGGGUUUGACCCUCAAAGUGGAUAAUUCAAUUUCUUUAAUUUUUUUAAAAUUUUUUAAGAUUAAUUUCAUAUAACUUUAUAUAAAUAUAUUGAAUAGCAUACAUAUUUCUACAAAGUUCAACUUUUUAUAUUUAUUUAUACAAAAGUUCAAUGAUAUUCAUAUUUGUCCCUCUGGUUUGUUGUUUAGAGAAAGAUAAUAUAUUAUCCGCUUCAUUUACUUAUUUUAGAAAUAAACUUAGCUGAAAAUAUGAAUCAAUUAGGAUUCGAACCUGGGAUCUCGGAUAUCAACCAUCAAGUCCCUUGCCACUUGCGUUAGGAAAGGUCGAUUUGUCCCUUUGAUUUGUUACUGUUAGAGUACUGUUUAUUUUUUAACAGAAGAUAAGUAAAAUGAUAUUUUUGUCAUUAUAAAUAUAUCUCUAAAAAAAAUUCAACUGUUAGAAUUAUAAAGAAAUGUCCUCCCAAAAAUUUUUAACGGUCAUCUUCUUUCUUUCGACCAUCAUAAAUAAUAUAAGAAGGGUAAAAAAAUCAAUUUAUCUCAUUCACUAAUCAGAGUUAAGUAUUUUUUACUUAUGGUUAACUAUAAUUUUCUAACGGAUCCUAACAAUAGAGGUAUAUCUAAAAACUUCAAAACUUUUGUAAGAAUAAAUAUGAAAAGUUGAACUUUGUGUAAAGGAAAUGAUCGGACAUGAAUUCUUUACAAUACUAAGUGCAAGAGUUGAAAUUAUAAUAAAGUCACAAAUUAACUUAAAGUAUAAGUAAGAAAUUAUAAUAAAUUAAAAUUUGAGCGUUAAAAUAUCACCUAUUUCAUAGUUUAUAAGAACCAAACGUGCAAUUUAUCUUUUAAUUUUUACUUACUAAAUCCCUUUCAUAGAUAUAGAUUCUAAAUUUGAAUCCUGCGUACGUAGGCCUACAAACAACAUCUUAAAAGAUUCAUAGCUAUAAAUGCAAAAAAAAAAAGAAAAAAAGCACUUGGUGUGUAUCUCAUAUUGGCACAUAAUGAAUUCCACUGCAUUGAAAAAAUCUACAUAAAAUAAAAAAAAAAGAUAAUAAUGUUCAUUUUUCAACUACUGAUUAUUAAGAUUGUCGAGCAAUUAUACUUUGAACUUAGAUCUUAGGUACUAAAUCAACUGUAUUAGGUAUGGUCGAUUUACAAUCUUUUAUUUAUAGGCUCUUUAGAUAGUUUAGAUUAAAUGUAUUGGGUUGAAUUUUAAUUUUAAAAAAUAUUGGGCAUAAAAAAAAAAUUAGAUGCAUGCAUUAGUGGGGCAGGAGAAUUAAAAUAAAAUUGUGCAUAGACCCUCUCAACUACAAGACGUUUUGAAAUAGCUCCAUUACCUAUCAUUUUUUUUUAAUGGUUGAGACAUAAUACCUUAUAAUUUUUUAAAAUUAAGUAAUUUUAAUUAGAAAAUUUUUAAAAACUUAUUAAUUUCAUUAACAGUUUUACUAACUAGGCCAAACAGUUAAUAACUAAUAAAAUUAUUAACUUAAUUAAGUAUAAAAAAUUUCAAAAUGUACGAAAUUAGAGGUUGAGGGGUCUCAAUCAAAAGAAAAAAUACAAAAGAAAUAGUUGAGGGCAAUUUUUAGAUUAGAAAUAGUUGAGGGGGUUUCCGUACAAUUUUACCUCUUAUUAAUGUAUUAACUAAAAAAAGAGUCUUUGUUCGCACACUUCCGAUUCCAAUUUAGGACACGAACAACUCCUCAAAAAGCCGCCUUUUUUAUUCUUUAUUAUCACCUUUUUUUUUUGAUUAAUUAAUAAUAUUAUUGUUGUUGUUUAAUCCUCUCCUUCGAUAAUUCCGGGAACACGGGAGUAAUCGAAAGAGAGAAGGUGCGAGCUUUCUCUCUCUCGCUCUCUUGCCCAUAACUUGUUUGAUGUAUUGUGUGUGUGAAAUUUUGAUUCUUUUAAUUGGUUUUAUGGGUUUUUCUUUUGGUUUUUUAGCUGUAUAAUUGAAUUGGGUUUUGUUUGUUUUUAGUGGUGAUGAUGCGGAGAUGCGCUUUGGACCUUGUUCGGCGGUGUUCGGACUCUCGGAGAACGAAUUAUUUGGUAAUUUUUGAUAAUUUUUUUAGCAUGAAUAUGCAAUUUUUGGUUGGAAUUGAUCAAAAAUUAAAACUUUAUCCUUUUUUUUUUUGACUCUGAUUGAGUAAGUUUAAUUGUAGAAAUGUUUGGUUUUUUUUCCCCCCUUAUUAUGUGGGUUUUGGAGUUUGUGGGUAAUUUGUAGGAUAAAGCCCAAAAUUUCAGAAGCUACAAUAUCUCAAAUCCCUUUUUUAUUUGUUUAAUUUUUCUCUUUAUUUGCUUGUAUUUUGGGUUCUGUUUUAUGGAAUAAUUAGGCCUCUUCCUUCCCAAAAAUUGAAAAAAAAAAUGGCUUUUGAGUUUGAAAAUUUGUAAUGGAGCCACCCCUGUUGCUGAUAUUUGACUAGAACAGUGUUCUUCUUAUUACCAUAAAACUGCUUCUUUUUAAUUAUGAAUAUCAGUUCAAUGUUUCCGCAAAGAGUUAGAAGAUCUUAGGAUCAAUUUGUUAGAGCCAAAAUGCUCACAAUUUGCCAAAAAAAUCAGUGAUUUCAAUGGAAAAAAAAAAUUAAAAAAAACUUUGGGGUUGUUAGGUUAUUGUAAGAUUAGUGAAUCGAAAAUUGUGAGCUGCAUUUUAAAGAUUCAUGGUUUUGUUGUUGUAGCCCUUUUGUUUGGUUAAACUAUUUUGUUCUUAUUAUAUGUUUAGCAAUGCAUAGCUUUUUCUGAACUUCAGCUUUAAGAUUGUGUUCUCAUUUCAUAAAAUUUGUGGCCAGGUUGAUGCAUGUAGACUCAGAUAUGGAUAUAAGCAGAACAAUUGUCCCCCACAUAGAGGAAGUGAUGAAUGCGCUUCGACGAUUAAUAGCCCGAGCUGUUCCAGUUCACAAAGUUAUGCAACUUCAUGUGCUACAUGGCCCGAUACACAACCAAGAGAGAACCCCUCGUCCGACAUGUUGAUCGAUUCAUUCGGUCGUUUCCACAACUAUUUGCGAAUCUCAUUAACAGAACGUUGCAAUCUCCGGUGUCAGUACUGCAUGCCGGCCGAAGGGGUCGAACUGACCCCGAAUUCCAACCUUCUGUCCCACGAUGAGAUUAUUCGACUCGCAGACCUGUUCGUGAGUUCCGGAGUGGAUAAGAUUCGGUUGACGGGCGGAGAGCCGACAAUUCGGAAAGAUAUAGAGGAUAUAUGUUUGCAUCUCUCUAGCUUGAAGGGAUUGAAAACACUUGCUAUGACUACUAAUGGGAUUGUUCUCGCAAAGAAACUCCCGAAGUUGAAAGAAUGUGGGCUCAGUGCGAUAAAUAUUAGUUUGGACACGUUGGUUCCUGCAAAGUUUGAGUUCAUGACCAGGCGGAAAGGGCAUGCGAGGGUUUUGGAGUCGAUUAACACUGCCAUCGAGCUUGGAUAUAAUCCUGUCAAAGUAUGGAGGCUUCUUUUACUUGCUAUAUUUCUGUUUUAUUUUGGUUUCUUAGUGAUAAACCAUAUUCUGUCAUGUUUAUCUCCAUUCAUUUUAGAAUGAGAUUGGGCAUUGUUUUUCUUGUAAAAGCUUUUGCAUAUGUAGCUUCCUAAAUUAUCUAUGUGCAUAUGUGUCUCUUCAAGGUGCUAUUUUGUACACAAAAAAAAAGUUAUCCCGAUAAAGCACAAAGGUAAAUGUGCAAGUAAUUAUGUGUCUAAAGGCAUAUAUGAUAAUUUGAAGUUUCGAGGGAUGCACAUGUAAGUAGAAAUUGUUGGAGUUUACAUGUAUAUUGAUCUGCUUUUAGAGAAGCAGCUAACUUUUAGAUCCUCCUUUUUGCUUCAAUUACAGGUCAACUGUGUUGUAAUGCGGGGAAUGAAUGAUGAUGAGAUUUGUGAUUUUGUCGAACUGACGAGAGAGAAGCCGAUUAAUGUUAGAUUCAUUGAGUUCAUGCCAUUUGAUGGAAAUGUUUGGAACAUCAAAAAGCUAGUACCCUAUGCUGAGAUGUUGGAUAAAGUGGUAAGGUUAGGACUCUGACAAGUACUAAAUAUCUUCAAUUAGAAGUUAGAAAAAAAAAAUAUAUAUAAUGCUUAAAUAUUCACUUCUAAAUUAACUGUUACUUUUUCAGGACAUAUUCUAUUAAUUUGCUGAUAACAGCAAUCACAGCAAAGUCCUUAGAAGUUGAGUUUAUACUUAGUAAUUCUGUCUAUUACAUCCAUUUGAUAUUGUCGUUAUUUUGGUAAUUGAUCGAGCAGCGGCAACAAUUUAAGGAUGUAAGGAGGCUUCAAGAUCACCCUACAGAUACAGCCAAAAAUUUCAAAGUCGACGGACACUCUGGAACUAUAUCAUUCAUUACAUCAAUGACUGAGCAUUUUUGUGCGGGAUGCAAUAGGCUGCGGCUCUUAGCUGAUGGAAACUUUAAAGUGUGUUUAUUUGGUCCCUCAGAGGUAUAUUACGCUCUUUUUCAUGCACUGUUACCUUCUCAUCAUGUGAUAGAAUGAUCUUAAUGCCCCAUGUUAUUCUUCGUAAUAUUAUUAAUACUUUGGGAAUAAAUUUUAUAUCUAUUUUCAGAAGAGAUAACAUUUCAAAGCAUAUAAUAUUUAAUUGGUAGAGUUAAUUUCUUUCAUCAGGUUAACGCGAUAACCGGUGACAAAUUUUGCUUAUGUUUAGAAAUUAUUGUGUACACUUCACUUUCUUCUUUCUUAUUCUGAUUUUCUUUUCCUUUCUAUAUUAUUUGUUAUAAUAGAUGAAUCUGUGCCUUUAUAAUGAAAUGUUACCUGAUGUAUAUAAACUUAUAUAAACUAAUAUUCAAGCCUGUGCAACCCUGCAAUCGCCUAGUUCUCGUACUUUAUAUAGUUUAAAUCACUUUUGAUGUCACAUCUCUCUGAUGAAGAGCUCUACUUCAUGAGAUUCUUACUAUUUUCUCCUUGAAUGAACUGAAAUAUUUUGUUUUAUAUGGAUAGAACAUUUAUGUUCAAAGUAACCCUUAUGUUUUUAAGAUUGUACUUUUAUUUUGCAUAUUUAAAUAUUGAGAUGAUAUUACUUUAGGCGACAUUCAUCUUAUUUUAAGAAAAAGAAGGGCACCCUCAUUUCAAAUGUUUUCAGUAACCACGAGAACUAAUUCUGUUGGAUUUCAACUCUUUAGGUGAGUUUAAGGGAUCCACUUCGUGCUGGUGUCGACGACCUCGAGCUAAAGGAUAUAAUUGGUGCUGCGGUAUGUGGAAACUUCUACCCAUUCAUUAUACUAUCCGAAACAUGUCCUCUUUUUCUUUUUUUGAUAUUUUGAGUAUAUACGCCUGCAAAGCUAUCUACUUACAUGCAUAUCCCCGUAAAAUCUUACUACUCAUAUAUAUAUGCCCAUGAAAAGCGUACUUUCUUACGUAUACUCCCUUUUACUUAUAGAAAAGCUCCUUUCAAAACUUUUUCGCCUAUGAAAUUGAUUACUCUUCUCUCUGGAGAUAAGGGCAUAUUAUGUGAUUCUAGACUUCGAAGGGAUAUAAAUGAAAAUAGAGAGUUUACAAGAUUAAUUACAUGGAUAGAUGAUUUUACAGGGAUACAUAUUUCAAUCCCCUUCUUUUGAAUCAAUGAACAUGUCCUGGGAGCUUAUGAAAAGAAUUUUUUUUAUUUUUUUUUUCAAUUUAGCAUAUUUAGCUUGCAUAUACCUAUAUAGGUUGAGAAUUGAAGGUGCCUUUCUUCUUUUUCAGGUUAAGAGGAAAAAACGUGCACACGCGGGGAUGUUCGACAUAGCAAAGACAGCAAAUAGACCCAUGAUUCAUAUCGGUGGCUGAGGUAUUUUAUCAAAAGUCGAAGCCUUUUUUUAUCUACUGAUGUUGCGCUUACUGCCUUUCUAGACAUGAUAAGAGAGACGUGAAGCGAAUUUCUUACAUGAAUGUUUACACACCUACUGUUGAUCCAAGAGCGUGAGCUGAAUAGUUUUUGUUUAAAAUACUGAGCUGGAAAUAUGUGUCGAUUAAGUUAAUCAUUGUUGCGCUGAACGAGAGGGCAGAUUAGAAGUAAAUUACUGAAAUGGAAAUUACUGAAACUGGAAAUAUGUGCGGCGUCAGUCCAGUACAUUAGACCUAUCUUCCAAAUGAAGAAAGAGUAAUGCUGAAUGUUUUACGUUCCAUAAAUUUAUAAAGUGGUGGGAAAUUAAGUGAACGGCGCGAAAUCAUGUAGCCAUCCAGAAAUAGGUAAUGUAGAACACAGGCAAGUAUUGUAUUGCAUCGCAAUAUAUAAUGUGUUAUCUGACAUUAUAUUUACUGUUUUGAUAGUUUCUCUCACUAGGAGUUCAGAAUUGAAGAGAUAUGAGUUGCGUUAAAUCUUUUGACAAAUCCCAGGCCAUCAAUGAUAGCUUCGCGCCCUUUCUGCCAUUUCGAUUUGUUUAACCUAUCGCGACUCUGUUGAUUUUAUUUCCUUUUGAAGUUGCUAUGAAUUUAAGUGUCUUUGGAUAUAUAUGUUAUGUUUCCCUACUUCCAUCUCUUUUAAGUCACUAGCAAAAGCUGAUGAUUCAUUCUGUAUGGUAUUUUACCUCUCUUUCAGGUUAUCAUGGAUUCUGAGGGAGCUCCUCUUUUUUUUUCUUUUUUUUUUUUUUUUUUUUUUUUUUUUUUGUUUUGUUGGGGUCCUCUUUUUUUUUUUUUUUUUUUUUUUUUUUUUUUUUUUUUUCAGGGAGUAAAAGGUACUGAUGCUCUUACAACUACAGUAUAUCAAAAUGGCCAAAAUCAAGAUUAUUUGAGCUCUCACCAACUUGGUGGAAGGUCUUGUUUCCAAGUACACACUGUUUUUUACUUUAUCCAAGCUUCUGACAUGUAAACUAGUGGGAUUGUUUUAAGCUGUAAACUCAAGAUCAUGUAAUGAUCAUACAUAGUAAUGUUGUUUUGUCCUUACAUGUAAUAUAUACACAAAACUUGGAUACCUAUAUAUUUAUGUUGGUAUUUGGCAUCUUUAAUGCUGUUUGAGUAGAAUUAUUUGAAGACGCGGCAAUAGCUUAAUCGUUUAAAUCCGCUUGGCAACUUCAUACCAGAACAAAAUUAGCCUGGAUGUGCUUAUUUAGCUUUGCACCACAAAAUUGGAUAGAAUUGCAAAUCAGGAUGCAUCAAAUCUCUUGUUUGGAAAUGUUAGUGGUUGUGAUUUUGUGGAUCGUAAACGCUGCCAACUAUUCCAAAUACACGUGUUGAUAAGAAGGGAACAUUCAUCGCACUUGAAGGUUUUGCCACAGUCAUGAAUUUUGACUUAAACUCAAUCCAUCCGGACGUUUGGCCUUUUGCUGUUAGGUCUAUUGUGAACCGCAGCUCUACUCAAUUGAGUAAAAAGUUAGACGUAUUUUUGCCAAUAAUAAAUCGCUAACAUUCUACCCCUCAACACCUAUGCCACUAACUCUAAUAUCACUUCUGCAUCAUAAGUGCUGACCAACUAUCUCAAAAUACGUGUUGGCAGGAAGGACAUACUUAUCAUAUUUAAGAUCCUAGCCACGGUGCUUACGAACUUCGAGCUGGCUCAAUCCAUCUGAAUGUUAGGCCUAUUGUGAAUCGCAGCCCCACUCUACUUAUUGAACUCACGCAACUCAAUUUAUUAGUCUUUUGGAUCUAUUGUCACAAGCAGAAAGUUGAACUUAUUUUAGCCAAUAAUAAAUAGCCAACAAAUUUGACCUAAUUUCAGAUGAAUAAAAAUGAUUUAUUUGCAAAUCAGGUGAUUGGAUGUCUGAUUUCAAACAUCAAUGGUUGUGACUUUUUUUCCCCUCCUUUUUCCUUAAAAUCUACUUUAGAUAUAUAUCUUUUGCACAUAAAGUCGAAGUUUAACUUUUUUGUACAUAUCCUUUUGGUUAUUUAAAUAUAUAUUAUCAUUCAAAGUGUGGGCCUAUGUUGAUAGUUUAUUAAAAGAGGUAGCUUCGUCUCACCUAUAUAUAUAAUCUUCCAAUUGACUAAUAAACAUGCAUAUUAAUAAAUAAAUAACAAUUGUAAAUUAAAUAUAUUGGUGCUUAAUUACUUUAUUGAAUUACUUUAUUUAUAAGUUAGAGCCAUUGUCAUGUUUUCUAUAUAAACAUCACAAUUUUUGUGCAUCUUUACUUAUAGCCAUGCCCUCUUUGGUUGUACCUACACUCAAUAAUUUAAUCAUAUCUUUGCCAAAAUAAUUAAUAAUAGUAAUAAUAAUAAUAAUAAUUAAUACUGAGAGCUUAAUGCCCAAGUUUCUAUUUUUGAUUAUAUUAUGCAUAAUUUAUAAUCAAAUUACGUAAAACUUUUGAAUUAGAUGUAAAUGUGAUUAAUUUGAUAUCAAAUUGAGGGUUGCACAAUUUAUUUUACUUUUAUUUAUUUAUUUAUUUAUUUAUUUUUUGUGUAACAACUUACAAAGUUAUCUCAGAGUUUUUGGCCUUUCAAUUGGUUUUUCUAAUAAUAAAUAUUUGAGUGAUAAUGCUUCAGUACAAACUUCUAAUCUCAACCGUUCAUUUCCCUCCAUUGAUUUGAAGCUGCCCAUUUUUCGCCGUUACUUGAUCAAGCAAAAAAUUGUUCUGAAGCAUUAUUUGUAAAUUUUUUUAUAGAGGGUUUAAAUUUGAAUGGUAAAUUGGUGAACUAAAUUAAAAAUAUGUACUAGAGUACAAAACAUGACAAUUAAUUAAAGUUAUUAAGCACUAUAUUUAGAAGAAAAUCCAAGCAAAAUUAAAUCGAAUUUAAGUACCGGAUAAUUCGGUUGAAUAUGGAUAUAAAUAAUUAAAUUUUCAAUUCAAUCUCAUUAUUUGGAAAAAAAAAAAGAUGAAAAUCAUCUCAAGUUAAUUAUCUAAAUACUAUACAAUUGAAAAUUGGGUAAUUUUGGGUUACUUAAUAAGUACUAAGUAACAAACAAUUUCUCAUCAAAUUCAACCUUAAAUCAUAAACUUUGAAUCGAAAACGUAGCGUUUUUGGGAAUUAGAAUUCUAAUUUGAUUAAAUUGUGGGAUUUGAAUUUUAAACAAGGAGUAAACAUUUAGAAGCCUUUAUACAUUGGAAGUUCAUUUAUUAAAUAAUGAAAAAGCACAUCAUAUUAAUACAUUGAUUGAGAAAAAUAGUAUGGGGCAUUUUUUGACUGAAAAAUUGUUUAAUUUUUAUUCAUUUAAUUUCAGAAAAAAUAAAUUUUUUAGAAACUGAUCUUAUGUGAAAAAUCUCUGUAUUAUUUUCUAAAUUGUUUUAACUGAGAAACAAAAGCUUAAAAAAAAUUAUAUUUUCCAUAAAAUAUAUACACUUUUUUUUAUAAAUUUUUUUUUUCUAAAAGCACCCCCUAAACGUGCCAAUCUACUUUAAAGUCCAAAUGGAUUCCAUGGAAAAGUUUUACUUCAAACAAUGCAUUCACAUCCACUACUUUUUUCUUCUUUUUUUUUUCCUGAGAUACAUGCAUGCAUCCACAUCCAAUUGGUAGUGCCCUUGUUCUAUCACACUCUGAUCCAUCAAUUCAUUUAAUUAAUGUGUAUGUUGGAAACAAUUUAUGACCUAGUUACACAGUGAAACUUGGAAGUGGUAUUAGUUAACAGAUCCAUAUUUGAUAGAGGUAAAGUAAAUUUAUUAAAUUUGAUUAAACUCAAUCAACAAAAUAUUAUAAGAUGUAAUGAUUAAAUUUAUUUGUCAGAAUCAGAAUUAUACACUUUCUCAAUGAAAAUUGUUUUGCCCUAAGAGUAUUUUACUUGCACAUGAAACAUGCAUUUAAAAUUAGUAUUUAUGGACAUAUAUAUAUCGACUUUUAUGCCAAGCAUGGAUAAAAUAUAUUUUGACGCUUUAAAGCGCCAGUAUUUUUCUAAAUUCUGAUGCUUUAAAACAUAAAAAAAUUAAAAAUAAUAAUAAUAUUUAUCAUUGACUUGAUACAAUAGAUUAUUUAUAUGACGACGUUUUUUAAAGUGUUAGUAUUUUGUUAUAAUUGCAGAGACCCUCGAAGAAAGUUUCCACCUAACAGUCGUGUAAAAAACGUCCUUAUAAUGUGUUUUCUGUAGUUAAGCUGCUACAUAUAUUAGGCUCAAAACAAUAGCAAUUUAAUCAUAUAAUGCAGCAACACCCAAAAAAAACAACUUACAAACUCUAAAUUCAAAGCUAAUUAAGAACGAAAUGGAAAACCAAUCACACUAGUGACUUUACCUUUCAUGUACCCUUUUUUUUUCUUUUCUUUUCUUUUCUUUGAGAAAUGUACAGUGAAAAAAUGGGGAAAGAAAUAGAAGAAAUUUUUUUUUUUUUAACAAUCAUCCCUAAUCCCAAAUUCAAUCAGCAACCCAAUCUCCCACCAGAAGAAAUUAAAUUAAGAUCAAAACAAAACAAAAAAGUAAAAGAGACAAAAAAAAGAUAUAUGCAAAAAUUGGAGUAAUUAAUUACUGAUCCUCAAAGUAAUUAACCCCCAAUCCAAAACCCAUGCAUGCAAUCUCCUUAAAAUUUAAUUCACUACUACUGCUUAAUUAUGACUAAACAUCUAUAGAGAGAGAGAUGAACUCCUGUGCUUGUGACAUCUUAGCCGUCGAAUUGUCUCAAGAUCUGUGCAGCACUAUUAACGAUGUGUCCCGUUAAGUCUACUUUACUAGUACUGUACGAACUUUGAGACAGUUCGUCGGCUAAAAAAUCACAAGCACAGAUGCUCGCUCCUGUGCUUUUAACAUAUUAUUAAGUUGUAACUAUCCAUUGAUCAAAUAAGGGAGCAAAUGGAAAUCACCAAGGCCUUGUAGGAGGAACUGAUCAUCAUCAUCAUCACCAUUUUGAUCCUCCUCAAGAGCUCUCAAGAACCC